CUUAUCAGCCGUUGCAGUGAUGGAAAUUUGUUGCUGCUGCUGCUGGGAAUGCAAUCGAGGCGGCAAGAAGGAAGGCGAUGCCAGAACCGCAUGCCAGAUACUCAUUCGAUACACUCGAAAUGUGCCAAAUUAUUCUCACGUUUCGCUGAUGAUUCAAUGACCGCUUGAUGGCUGUUGUCUAGCCUUAGCAGGCUGUCCAAAAUUAUUAGCUUUGGGGCUUGAUCACGAGUCCCUUAAUCGCUAUAAUCGGCAUCGACUGGCGGCGCUUAUCAGGUGAACCCGCUGAAUCGGCACAUGCAAUUCAAGAUCAAAGUUGAAGUUCCCCCCCCCUGGAGACAGAGCGUUUCGUCUGGAUCUACACUCUGUUAUCUGCCGCCGCUUGUUUGGAAUUCACACAUCCGCAGCAGCGUUUAGAUGGCAGGCAGGCAGUCACUCCGCCCCGCCCGCCAUGAGCCACCUGAUCCAGCAGGCGAUGUGCCAAAAAAUCCCAACCACUUGAACCUGAGGCUAUACCCUGACGCACACUCCCCGCUACCGUGCAAAAACAAUUGCUCGAGAGUAGAAAAAAUAAAGCGAAAAUGUUUUAACGCUUCGACGCAUAACGACAACAAACAAAUCGCUUCAUUUAACAAUAAAUAGCUGCCAGCUACGACGGACGACGCUUC
Molecule: long non-coding RNA, 665 nt
Organism: Drosophila subobscura
Lineage: Eukaryota; Metazoa; Arthropoda; Insecta; Diptera; Drosophilidae
Exons: 2
Source: RefSeq, a predicted model, not a curated record